This 475-nucleotide ribosomal RNA is filed under the name Bacillus cereus. RNAcentral's name for it is "bacterial SSU rRNA". It matches the Rfam family "Bacterial small subunit ribosomal RNA", at positions 550 to 1024 of the family's 1533-position model. Lineage: Bacteria; Bacillati; Bacillota; Bacilli; Caryophanales; Bacillaceae. The record is from RNAcentral.
UUAUUUGGGCGUAAGCGCGCGCAGGUGGUUUCUUAAGUCUGAUGUGAAAGCCCACGGCUCAACCGUGGAGGGUCAUUGGAAACUGGGAGACUUGAGUGCAGAAGAGGAAAGUGGAAUUCCAUGUGUAGCGGUGAAAUGCGUAGAGAUAUGGAGGAACACCAGUGGCGAAGGCGACUUUCUGGUCUGUAACUGACACUGAGGCGCGAAAGCGUGGGGAGCAAACAGGAUUAGAUACCCUGGUAGUCCACGCCGUAAACGAUGAGUGCUAAGUGUUAGAGGGUUUCCGCCCUUUAGUGCUGAAGUUAACGCAUUAAGCACUCCGCCUGGGGAGUACGGCCGCAAGGCUGAAACUCAAAGGAAUUGACGGGGGCCCGCACAAGCGGUGGAGCAUGUGGUUUAAUUCAAAGCAACGCAAAGAACCUUACCAGGUCUUGACAUCCUCUGAAGACCCUAGAGAUAGGGCUUCGCCUUCGGG